This 485-nucleotide ribosomal RNA is filed under the name Escherichia coli. Its description in RNAcentral is "bacterial LSU rRNA". It matches the Rfam family "Bacterial large subunit ribosomal RNA", at positions 1150 to 1637 of the family's 2925-position model. The record is from RNAcentral. Lineage: Bacteria; Pseudomonadati; Pseudomonadota; Gammaproteobacteria; Enterobacterales; Enterobacteriaceae.
CGAGUCGGCCUGCGCGGAAGAUGUAACGGGGCUAAACCAUGCACCGAAGCUGCGGCAGCGACACUAUGUGUUGUUGGGUAGGGGAGCGUUCUGUAAGCCUGUGAAGGUGUGCUGUGAGGCAUGCUGGAGGUAUCAGAAGUGCGAAUGCUGACAUAAGUAACGAUAAAGCGGGUGAAAAGCCCGCUCGCCGGAAGACCAAGGGUUCCUGUCCAACGUUAAUCGGGGCAGGGUGAGUCGACCCCUAAGGCGAGGCCGAAAGGCGUAGUCGAUGGGAAACAGGUUAAUAUUCCUGUACUUGGUGUUACUGCGAAGGGGGGACGGAGAAGGCUAUGUUGGCCGGGCGACGGUUGUCCCGGUUUAAGCGUGUAGGCUGGUUUUCCAGGCAAAUCCGGAAAACUAAGGCUGAGGCGUGAUGACGAGGCACUACGGUGCUGAAGCAACAAAUGCCCUGCUUCCAGGAAAAGCCUCUAAGCAUCAGGUAACAU